GAGGCUGGCGUCGUCCUAUAAUGCAGUCGAGCGAACGGACGAGAAGCUUGCUUCUCUGAUGUUAGCGGCGGACGGGUGAGUAACACGUGGAUAACCUACCUAUAAGACUGGGAUAACUUCGGGAAACCGGAGCUAAUACCGGAUAAUAUUUUGAACCGCAUGGUUCAAAAGUGAAAGACGGUCUUGCUGUCACUUAUAGAUGGAUCCGCGCUGCAUUAGCUAGUUGGUAAGGUAACGGCUUACCAAGGCAACGAUGCAUAGCCGACCUGAGAGGGUGAUCGGCCACACUGGAACUGAGACACGGUCCAGACUCCUACGGGAGGCAGCAGUAGGGAAUCUUCCGCAAUGGGCGAAAGCCUGACGGAGCAACGCCGCGUGAGUGAUGAAGGUCUUCGGAUCGUAAAACUCUGUUAUUAGGGAAGAACAUAUGUGUAAGUAACUGUGCACAUCUUGACGGUACCUAAUCAGAAAGCCACGGCUAACUACGUGCCAGCAGCCGCGGUAAUACGUAGGUGGCAAGCGUUAUCCGGAAUUAUUGGGCGUAAAGCGCGCGUAGGCGGUUUUUUAAGUCUGAUGUGAAAGCCCACGGCUCAACCGUGGAGGGUCAUUGGAAACUGGAAAACUUGAGUGCAGAAGAGGAAAGUGGAAUUCCAUGUGUAGCGGUGAAAUGCGCAGAGAUAUGGAGGAACACCAGUGGCGAAGGCGACUUUCUGGUCUGUAACUGACGCUGAUGUGCGAAAGCGUGGGGAUCAAACAGGAUUAGAUACCCUGGUAGUCCACGCCGUAAACGAUGAGUGCUAAGUGUUAGGGGUUUCCGCCCCUUAGUGCUGCAGCUAACGCAUUAGCACUCCGCCUGGGGAGUACGACCGCAAGUUGAAACUCAGAAAAUUUGACGGA
Molecule: ribosomal RNA, 897 nt
Filed under: Micrococcus sp.
Lineage: Bacteria; Bacillati; Actinomycetota; Actinomycetes; Micrococcales; Micrococcaceae
Also listed under: 1 other name
Description: bacterial SSU rRNA
Rfam family: Bacterial small subunit ribosomal RNA
Source: RNAcentral